RNAcentral lists this ribosomal RNA (253 nucleotides) under uncultured bacterium. Its description in RNAcentral is "partial 16S ribosomal RNA". It matches the Rfam family "Bacterial small subunit ribosomal RNA", at positions 524 to 776 of the family's 1533-position model. The record is from RNAcentral.
GACGAACCGUGCGAACGUUGUUCGGAAUCACUGGGCUUAAAGGGCGCGUAGGCGGGCGGUCAAGUCAGGGGUGAAAGCCCCCAGCUCAACUGGGGAAGUGCCUCUGAUACUGACCAUCUCGAGGGAGGUAGGGGCGUGCGGAACUUCCGGUGGAGCGGUGAAAUGCGUAGAGAUGUGGAGGAACACCAAUGGCGAAGGCAGCCUUCUGGGCCAACACUGACGCUCAUGCACGAAAGCGUGGGGAGCAAACAGG